Molecule: long non-coding RNA, 566 nt
Organism: Carya illinoinensis
Lineage: Eukaryota; Viridiplantae; Streptophyta; Magnoliopsida; Fagales; Juglandaceae
Exons: 2
Source: RefSeq, a predicted model, not a curated record
AUGGUCUCCCUCCCUCAAGCUCACUAUAUAAAGCAGCUCUGAAAUCCUUGACGCCGACCACUCCAAACAACACGACCGCACCUAGCAUCUGUUCAUUUUCUGCAUUUAUUUAUUUGUAAAAAUCUCCUUUUACGUUCCCCUCGUUCUUGUUUUCUCCCCCUGUUCUUAUUUCUUCGUUCUUCUUUUCCCAUCACGCUAGUCUCAGUAAAAACAAUCAUAUCAUUCUGCAAUGAUGUCUUUCCUGAAAGAAUUCACGGCUUACUAUCGUGAUCGACCGCCUUUUUCACGGUAGAUACAAUCGCUCUUCCUCUCGCGUAGUCGUUGGAUUUAGUUCAAGGGAAUUCAGCCUGGGUUUCGUGAGGAGAUGUUGGCCUAAGUCUGUUUUCUGUGGAGUGGGCAUUUUCAUUCCGCAAAGGUACAUCAAAACCAAUUUAAUACUGCAGAAUACGUCAACAUUUUGAUUGGGGCUUUGUGCAAAACAGUGUGAAUUUGUGUAAGACAUAUGUCAAGUAACGAAGGAUAUGUACGUUGGGAGUACGGAAUAUAUUCGAUGAAAGUUGAUCCAA